This 387-nucleotide long non-coding RNA is filed under the name Ananas comosus (pineapple). Its description in RNAcentral is "long non-coding RNA (ACOM_LNC010789)". Lineage: Eukaryota; Viridiplantae; Streptophyta; Magnoliopsida; Poales; Bromeliaceae. The record is from RNAcentral.
CUUUGUUCACUUCUCUUUAUAUAGAUAGAGGGUGGUGGAGGUUUACGGUGAAGAGAAAAGUAAAUGGUGGAGAAGUGGAGGGAAUGGUGGAGAAAGUGGUAGAAAUGGAGGGAAUGGUAGAGAAAGUGGUAGAGAAGUGAAGGGAAUAGUGGAAUGAUGGAGAAGUGGGAGAAAAUGGUGGAGAAGUGUGGAGAAGUGGGGUAAAUGGUGGAGAAAGUGGAAGGAGUGAUGAAGAAGUGGUGGAAAUGGUGAGAAGUGGAGGGAAUGGUGAAGAAAGUAGUAGAAAUAGAGGGAAUGGUAGGAGAUAGUGGAGGAGUGAAUUUAGAGAAGUGAUUUUUUUUUUUUUUAACAACCAGCUAUUUAUAGGGAGGAGAAGGGUGAAAUAGG